CCCCCUUGCCAAUCGGCAAAGGGACACCUUGUUGGUGGAGUUGUUCUUAUUUCAGUCAGGGGCAGAGCAGAUAGCAGACCUUUGUUCAUCCCAGUUUGAUGCCUGGCUUGGUGGCCAAAGCUAUUUUAUGCCUAGGACUCAUAA
Acomys russatus (golden spiny mouse) is the source of this 144-nucleotide small nucleolar RNA. RefSeq annotates it as small nucleolar RNA SNORA48. Lineage: Eukaryota; Metazoa; Chordata; Mammalia; Rodentia; Muridae. The record is from RefSeq and is a predicted model, not a curated record. The transcript has a single exon.